Long non-coding RNA from Triplophysa dalaica, 1170 nucleotides. RefSeq lists it as uncharacterized. The record is from RefSeq and is a predicted model, not a curated record. NCBI's taxonomy places the organism in Eukaryota, Metazoa, Chordata, Actinopteri, Cypriniformes, Nemacheilidae. The transcript is spliced from 3 exons.
UGUGUAUGAGUAAUAUAUCGUCACAUAUUUGAUUUGUGAGACAGAUUGCUGUGACACAACGAUAUUGGAAGGACACUGGAACAAGCUUCACUUCGACCAAUAAUUUUAUGAGACUCAAGAGAAGAGUUAGCUGGAAACACGAAUAAACUGAAAAUUGAAGUAGGCUACGAGUGAACGCGAUGCUGCAGCUCUUGAGAAAGAAACGGAUCUCAGGAAAAGACACGCCGUCUUUCUAUGAUCUACGAGGCCGGCGCCUGCCUGAGGAGUCAUCCCUACCUGUGAUUCAUGCACAGCUGGCCCACCUGACAAGUACAAAUGGUGUCUCCUUACAUCCACAUUAAUGAAAUCCCAGAAGACCAGAGAUGAUGCAUGGAGAAGGGCAUGUUAUAUAAUACAUGACCUCAAUUUGGCCUUCUUAAUGACAAAUGAAUUAGGAUUCACCUAAAGACAAUGUCACUGUGCACCAAUAGAUGGCAGCACCAUGCAGUUCUACUGAAGAAAAGUCACCAUCAUAGCUUGGAUGGCCUGAGGGUGAGUAAAUUGCAAACUGCAUUUUUGGUGAUCCAAACGUUUAAAAUAUUUUUCUCAUAAACCUUACUGUGAAAACAAUAAUUGUAGGUUUUGUAAACACAAUCACUGCUCUGUUUCGGGCAUCUCAAGGACAACACAACAAAGCCAUAUUGGCUCGAACAAAAGCAUGAGUUUAAGGCGGAACUAUGUGUUUCUAAGAUGUGAAUUUGGUGACUUUUAAAUCAACAGUUAGUCUCAGAAUGCUGUGUUACUUGGAGAUAUAAUAAUAUAACAUUUCAUGUCAGUUGGCUCUCUAUGUGGGUUUGUUAUAUUAUCAGUUGUAGUGGUAAUUUUGGCAAUGAAAAUAUAUUAGGCCAAAACAUUUUUUAUAAGCACUAUAAUUGGAGAAAGAUUAACCAAUGGCGUAAUCCACCAACAUCACAAGUGUCUAAAUACAGGCACAAAAUAAUUUCCUGGUACCAGAGGUCUAUAAAUUUGUUACGGUGAAUCUUUGAGGUUUUUCUGUUAGGGAAUAAACAUUUUCAGAUGCUUUCAAUUUACGGUCAUCCGAGGACACAGGCAACGGCACAAAAUCCCACGGAAAGUUACCUACCAACUCCUGCAAACAGAGUUGAGGAGGACUGCAGUUAUGAUGUAACA